RNAcentral lists this ribosomal RNA (1568 nucleotides) under Enterococcus hirae. RNAcentral describes it as "bacterial SSU rRNA". It matches the Rfam family "Bacterial small subunit ribosomal RNA". Lineage: Bacteria; Bacillati; Bacillota; Bacilli; Lactobacillales; Enterococcaceae. The record is from RNAcentral.
UUUUAUGAGAGUUUGAUCCUGGCUCAGGACGAACGCUGGCGGCGUGCCUAAUACAUGCAAGUCGAACGCUUCUUUUUCCACCGGAGCUUGCUCCACCGGAAAAAGAGGAGUGGCGAACGGGUGAGUAACACGUGGGUAACCUGCCCAUCAGAAGGGGAUAACACUUGGAAACAGGUGCUAAUACCGUAUAACAAUUGAAACCGCAUGGUUUUGAUUUGAAAGGCGCUUUCGGGUGUCGCUGAUGGAUGGACCCGCGGUGCAUUAGCUAGUUGGUGAGGUAACGGCUCACCAAGGCGACGAUGCAUAGCCGACCUGAGAGGGUGAUCGGCCACAUUGGGACUGAGACACGGCCCAAACUCCUACGGGAGGCAGCAGUAGGGAAUCUUCGGCAAUGGACGAAAGUCUGACCGAGCAACGCCGCGUGAGUGAAGAAGGUUUUCGGAUCGUAAAACUCUGUUGUUAGAGAAGAACAAGGAUGAGAGUAACUGUUCAUCCCUUGACGGUAUCUAACCAGAAAGCCACGGCUAACUACGUGCCAGCAGCCGCGGUAAUACGUAGGUGGCAAGCGUUGUCCGGAUUUAUUGGGCGUAAAGCGAGCGCAGGCGGUUUCUUAAGUCUGAUGUGAAAGCCCCCGGCUCAACCGGGGAGGGUCAUUGGAAACUGGGAGACUUGAGUGCAGAAGAGGAGAGUGGAAUUCCAUGUGUAGCGGUGAAAUGCGUAGAUAUAUGGAGGAACACCAGUGGCGAAGGCGGCUCUCUGGUCUGUAACUGACGCUGAGGCUCGAAAGCGUGGGGAGCAAACAGGAUUAGAUACCCUGGUAGUCCACGCCGUAAACGAUGAGUGCUAAGUGUUGGAGGGUUUCCGCCCUUCAGUGCUGCAGCUAACGCAUUAAGCACUCCGCCUGGGGAGUACGACCGCAAGGUUGAAACUCAAAGGAAUUGACGGGGGCCCGCACAAGCGGUGGAGCAUGUGGUUUAAUUCGAAGCAACGCGAAGAACCUUACCAGGUCUUGACAUCCUUUGACCACUCUAGAGAUAGAGCUUCCCCUUCGGGGGCAAAGUGACAGGUGGUGCAUGGUUGUCGUCAGCUCGUGUCGUGAGAUGUUGGGUUAAGUCCCGCAACGAGCGCAACCCUUAUUGUUAGUUGCCAUCAUUUAGUUGGGCACUCUAGCAAGACUGCCGGUGACAAACCGGAGGAAGGUGGGGAUGACGUCAAAUCAUCAUGCCCCUUAUGACCUGGGCUACACACGUGCUACAAUGGGAAGUACAACGAGUCGCAAAGUCGCGAGGCUAAGCUAAUCUCUUAAAGCUUCUCUCAGUUCGGAUUGUAGGCUGCAACUCGCCUACAUGAAGCCGGAAUCGCUAGUAAUCGCGGAUCAGCACGCCGCGGUGAAUACGUUCCCGGGCCUUGUACACACCGCCCGUCACACCACGAGAGUUUGUAACACCCGAAGUCGGUGAGGUAACCUUUUGGAGCCAGCCGCCUAAGGUGGGAUAGAUGAUUGGGGUGAAGUCGUAACAAGGUAGCCGUAUCGGAAGGUGCGGCUGGAUCACCUCCUUUCUAAGGAA